GACGGACGGUGGCCAGGGAUCAGGCAGCGGCUCAGGCGACCCUGAGUGUGCCCCCACCCCGCCAUGGCCCGGCUGCUGCAGGCGUCCUGCCUGCUUUCCCUGCUUCUGGCCGGCUUCGUCCCGCAGAGCCGGGGACAAGAGAAGUCGAAGAUGGACUGCCAUGGUGGCAUAAGUGGCACCAUUUACGAGUACGGAGCCCUCACCAUUGAUGGGGAGGAGUACAUCCCCUUCAAGCAGUACGCUGGCAAAUACGUCCUCUUUGUCAACGUGGCCAGCUACUGAGGCCUGACGGGCCAGUACAUUGAUUACGGUCAAGAGGAUAGAACCUGAGUCCCAGCAUUGCUGUGAACUCACUGGUGAUCUUGCACAAGUCCCUCCCUUUCUCGGGCCUCAGUAGUUCCAGCGGCACAGCGGGUGAGCCGGGGGAGUGGUGUGGAUGAGACAGGGCUCCUCACCAGGAUACU
RNAcentral lists this small RNA (464 nucleotides) under Pongo abelii (Sumatran orangutan). RNAcentral's name for it is "processed transcript". Lineage: Eukaryota; Metazoa; Chordata; Mammalia; Primates; Hominidae. The record is from RNAcentral.